Non-coding RNA from Daucus carota subsp. sativus, 107 nucleotides. NCBI's taxonomy places the organism in Eukaryota, Viridiplantae, Streptophyta, Magnoliopsida, Apiales, Apiaceae. The record is from Rfam.
GGGGAAGUAGCUCAAUGGUAGAGCACCGGUUCGAUUUCAUCUUCUUACAGAAUGUGUGAAAGUUUCUCGCAGAAACAAAGAUCGAGGUUCGAUUCCUCGCUUCUCCA